Long non-coding RNA from Apis laboriosa (Himalayan honeybee), 2132 nucleotides. RefSeq lists it as uncharacterized. The transcript has 3 exons. The record is from RefSeq and is a predicted model, not a curated record. NCBI's taxonomy places the organism in Eukaryota, Metazoa, Arthropoda, Insecta, Hymenoptera, Apidae.
CGUCGUCGCGGCGGCCAAACCGAGGAUCGGUCGCGCCGUGUAACAGUCGUACCCCUCUCUCGUCUCGUAUAUAUCGGUAUAUACCUUCCCGCCCCCCUCUCCCCGUCCCCUCGUGCCAACGUUUCCACGAUCGACCGUGCUUUAUUUGUCUCUCUCUCUCUCUCUCUCAUUCUUUCUCCUUCGUCGCCCCUUCGUCUCGUUAUCCGAGUGUUCGUGCGCGCGGUGGUGGAGGACAUUGACGAAUCGGACACCCUCGAUACCAACGAACCGAAAAUUCCGCCACGUUUUCAACUCGAGGAGGAGGUGACACACUCGUCGCGGCACACCGCCUCCUGGCCUCUCUCCGCUCUGCCUCCUGCUGCUCGUGGCCUUGUUUGUUUGUUGUUCAUCGUUGUUGGUGUGGAAGAGUGUAGUAGAAGAGGAGAAGGAGAAGGAGGAGGAGGAGGACUGUUGCAUUUAUCGGUUGUUCGCGCCCGUUGAUUGGUCUUGUUUGCUGUUUCUUUGUUCCGUUUUCCGUUCUUUUUUUUUUUUUUUGUUUUUUUUCGCCUCCGAGUGGCCCAGGUGAAACAAGUGAAACGAACAACGUUUCGGGGAAAGGAGAGAGAAAGGAAGAAGGAAAGGUGUGAUCUGUUGUGAUCCGAUCGAGGACGAGGACGCUGGACACGGGUGGAUCUUGGGGUGUCUUGUGCGGUGGGGAGCUUCUUCGAUUUCUGCCAGCCUCGUCCCGUCCACCUCUACUUCCUGUAGCCAGAUCCAACCGUUGGAUCAACGUUAUCUAGCUGUAGUGGCUAAAAUAGCACAGGAAGUAAUGGCGGUCGAAGGAAGAACGGCCGCGUGUCGCGAUAAAAGCGAACGUGACGCUCGAAGAAAUCACGAUGCGACUUUCUCAAAAUAGCAGAGUUCGAGAACGAGAACGAGGACGACGAAGAUGGAGAGGGCGAGGUAACGACGAGGGUGGAUACGACGAAGAAUCCAUCGAAGACUCGACCACGUGGUGUGUCGUUUUUUUCUCGAUUAAAAUGCGGGGUUAGAACAGUAAGAGGUGCGAAAGAGAAUGAUUGGGGAACGAAAAGUAUUUCUAUUUAGAGAAGAGAAAGUUAAUGGAAGUUACAAGUACAAAAAAAUCUUGGAAAGGAAAUCCAUCGAAUUUCAUAAUAUUCCUCGCGACUCGAAAUUCGAAUAAGAUUACGUUUCUACGUUAGGAUUAAUUUCCAAUUGAUAUUUUAACGUAAAUUAUUGUUAUUAUUAUUAUUCCAAUUUUAAUCUUUAGCACGAGGUUAAAGUUUAGAGACGCAUGAAAAUCAUUAAUUAGAGGUAUCUCCAAUGGGGAGAUGGGUGAAAAGGAGAUGCGGAAAGUUGGAAUAAACCAACUACUCUCCAUUUCCGGUUCAAAAGAGACAGGAAUAAGGGGGCGCUCUAAAGGGGCGCGUUAAAAACUCGCGGGAAGAAAAGAGUAACGGGAAAAGCGGCGUGGGGAAAACGCGAAAGGAAGGCACGAAAGGCAGCGGCAUCUCUAGAGGAAACGAAGGAUAGAGAGAGGCGUGUAGGCCUCUGAAUGAAAGAAAACCGAAAGAGGCGUGGAGGGAAAGAGGGAAGGGAAGGGUGAAAAGGAGCGUGAAGGCACGCAAGAAGGGGGGAGGGGUGGAAACGGGCAAAAAGCGAGGAGAGUCUGCAUCACCUUGCAUUCCACUUGACGGCACUUCUGCGUCGUCGCCCGCUACUUCUUUCUGCUCUCGGCUCGCGCACCCUCCCUCCUCCACCUUCCUCUCUUUUCCGUGUCGCAACGACAGGAAGCCGGAUCCGAUGGGGGGAAGUUUCGAAUCGAGUCCGGGUUUAAGCAGGCGCGGCGCGCAUCGACGAUCACGAAAAGAUGAUCUUUUGGCGCGGCGACGAGUUUUCUCGCGCUGCCGCCUCCCCAACGAAUCGGCCACGCGGUUCUCACGCGCCUUUCGAACGCGAGCUUUAUCAAAUGAUCCGAUCCUUUCAUGAAAAUUUAACGAAACGCGACGACGAUCUGCGUAGAUUUUGCGAAAGGGGAUACGGUUGUUAUUUAUGAGAUGGAGAGUUAUCGAUUGAAACAGGAUUGAAAUGAUUUUUCUCCGUGAAUCGAGUAUCAGUUUCAUCUUUGAGAA